UAAGAUAUUAUUAUAGCUAAAUCACGAAAUUGUCAUGAAUAACGAAAGUAAUAUCCAAAUUAAGAAGCAAAUAAAGUAAUAGGAAACUGAAUAAUCUGUGAAUUUUGGCGUCUGGUUCGUUUGUCAACUUCAGUUUGGUUGUGGAUAAGUUUUUAUGUCUAUAACGAUGCAAUGUGACGCUUUUGAUUCUUAAAAAAAACUCGUAAAUAUUUGAAGAAAUCUGUUUUAGCGUUUAAAUUGUUAGUGUACCUGUAUCUAACUGACUUUGUGGAUUUACUGAAAACGACAUAGAUGGAAGAUCCAGGGACCGAUUCAACGUCAAAAUGUGUAGUAAAUUGGCGUCGACAGUUGAACUGUGUCUGUCUGUCUCUCUGCGGGCAUUACGGACAACUGAUGACGUCCACGCAACACAUUUCGUAGUCUCGAUUUUCUUAAGAGAAUCGUGUGGCCACUUAACUCCUUAUUGGAAAUUGUCUGCAGAGUGCAAAUGGGACAAGCUGAUCAGACCACAGUAUCGCCUCGCAAUUCAGCAAGUAUCUGUGAACGAAGAACUGGACUUCAAGAAAGCCUACAUUUAUAUUUAACAAGUAGAAUGUAGUACUUAACCUGUGUCAACAGUUGCCUAUGGCCAGAUGAAAUGGUCCCACCAAACAUUUCCUUACCAGUUAAACAAUAGUUUUGUAGCACUCAAGAUUCAUAAGUUUAUCAUGUCAAGUACUUCAGUACAUUUCAGGAUAGCUGUUUCCAUUUCUUACCAGUUUAAGAUGACUAUAGGUUCGAUCAGUUUUAGGAUACGUACAUAUCUUUUUAAAAAAUAAAUUCGCUAUAUGUUUAAUAUUAGCUAUCAAGUACUACUAGAAGUUCUGUGUGUUUCAGGAUACAUAGUUUUGCUUGAUCAGGGAUCUAGUGUCGGUGUGAUAUCAGUCAAAAGUAGCUCAGUGUGUCUGGAUACGUAGGUCAUUCAAUUUUCUUGUGAAGUAUUAGCAAUCUGGCAACUUUCAGGAUAAGUGCUUUUUAUUUACAUAAGAUUAAUAAUAGUUUCAAAUUAACCAUAAAAAAAUCUCGGUUGGUUUUAGGAUAAUUAGCCUUUAUUUUGUUUAUCUGAAUAUAUAAUUGAAAUAUUAGUUCAAUAGUUAUGCCUUAAAAUACCAAAUGUUCACUUGAAUUUCUCAGCAGUGUUGACAUCAGCUGCAAAGGAACGUAGUCAUUCAUAUCAGGCUGCAUAGUUUUUACCUGUGUUCCCAUUAGUUGACCAUCAUCUAUCAGGUAGUUACGGCUGUUCCAGGCUCCAUAAUUUUAAACAUAAAUUUCUUGUUAGUGAAAUAGCAGCUAUUAGGCAGCCAUGGCUACUUUGUGAGUAUCUUAUAUCGAGGUCACAUAUGUUAAAGAAUAGCUUUUCAUCAACUUAGAGUAAUAUUACAGUCAAGUAAUUGACUUUCAUAGAAUACAUCUUCGUCUAGUUGUGAUCUGCAAGCUUGCCUAUGUACGAAGGUCACUUGAGUUUAAUGGUAGGAUAUAAUGACGAUUUUCUGUCAUUCCCUGACCCUCAACAAAAAAUAUCAAUAGCAAAAAAAUGUCAAUAGUUGUAAACAACAGGAUUGACUGACUUAAUGGAAUAUCUUCGUGUUGGUCAGUAUAGUUAGGAAUAAUUGUGGAGUCAGACUUUUCAGGUAUUGGCGUUUAUAGAAUAGAUAACAUUCAAGGCUAAUUAUUCCUGAUAUAUUUCCUCAGCAAAGCUUACUAUAAAUAUUGCUAAACUAACUUCUAUAGCAGUAGGACUUGGAAUAAAGAUACUCAUAUACAUUUUUGAAAGUUUUUUCCACAUUUUGUUUCUUUAGUGAUUUAAAUCAGAUUUCCUUUAGAAAAUUGGGAAUAGUUCCAAGGUCUUGCGUUAUUGUAAUGUUAUGUCAGUGUUGGUUCUUAUACUUUAAAAAUUAAGAUACUGGAAGGCUCUGUUGAAUACAAGGAAGAGAACUCAUCCUGAAGCAUUGGCAUGAUUGAAAUGCUAAGAUAGAAUGUAGUUUAUUAGUUUCAUCUCAAAAAAAGUAUAAAGAACUUUUCGUUCUUUCCAAGCGAUUAAACAAAACUGUGAAUUUUGUACAUAGCUUGCCAUGACAAAAAUGCUUCUUGUUUAAUAAAGGUUAAUUGUGUAAGUAUUGGAGAGUACUUUAUCAAGGGCAUUAUCAUCAUGGCAUCUCUGCAUAUUUCAAGACACUGAGGCUGGGGAUGGGGAGGUUCCAGAAUAAGUAUUCUUUGCGGGCAGUUAUGCAUUGUAGUAAAAAUGUAUCAUAGAUAAAAAUUAUGGAAUAAGUGAACUUUGAAUUUCACUGUAACUUUAAGGGCCAUUUGCAAUACUGUUAAUGGUAUUUUAGGUAAAGGAUUCAGUCAUAUUGUAAUUCAGUCAUUACUUGUGGAUAGUUUGUUUUUUUCUGAAAAUACCAUAGGUAGAUGAACCUGUAAGUACACUCAAAUUCAAAGCGUUACCUUAAAUGAGAUUAGGUAUUGUUAACAAGGGUGCCUUAGGUAUAUGAAUGUCAAUUCGAAAGUAGUCUCUGAAAGGGAGUAGUUUGACAAGGCUAUAUUUGGCAUAUGCAUAAACAAGCAUUCUCAGUUAUGUGAACAGUUUAUUCGACUUCAUGCUACAUUGAUAGAUAAGCUUUCUUGGAAGAUUAAAAUCACCUGCCUUGAGAACUAGUCAUUUAUUUUUCUCAAAGAAACUUAGUAUAUUCGAGACAUUUGACUCAAGAUCAAUUCCUUCCAUAGUAGACCCGUAGCUACUGGGAUAUUUGCUAUUUAAUUGAAUAUGAUUUGUUACUGUUUCCUUGCAAGGUUCUCACAGAGGGACUGAUUUUCCAUGAACACUGUGAAUUGGAGCAGUUAGGUUAAAGAGGUUGAACAGCAAAGUGGAAGGAACUAUAGGGGAAACUAUCUAAUAAUCAGGGAGUUCUGUUACACGUAGACUUGGCUUAAAGAAUGAUUAUCAGACCCGUAAUUACAUUGCAAGAGGGUACAUCUUAAGUUGCUUGUGAUUCUUAACAGAAAACAUUUGAGAAAUGCAAUUAUUUUUGAGUUAUAGUUCUAGUCAGUUUUAGAAUAAGUGCAAGUGUCUUGACAUAUGGAGAAUUUUUGGUUAAGGUAUAAUGGAUUUUUUGUUGAAUUAUUGCAUAGCGUUCCCAUUGAGUUUAUAGUUGAAGAUUCAGCUGUUAAUGUUAAAGAUGUAACUGUUAUUGUAAAGAAUUAACUUUAAAUUUUGAAUAAUUGGAAAAUUAUUGUCAUACCAAAUUGUAAAUUGAUUUUGUACAGAAACUGUGUUUCAGCUUUCUGCUCAGUUCUCACCAAGUACUGCAUAAGGCCUCAUUUAUCUAGGAGUAUGAAUUACUUCUGUUAGGUCCUAAUGAAACGAAAUAAGCUUAAAAACUGCUGAAAAUACUCUAGCCAUACCAGAAAAGUCUGAAUAUAGGAACCAGAUACAUAUUGUUGUAAAUUGAUGUAAGUAUCUUAGACACUGUUCUUAUUUCUUCCUCUCAACCUUCCAGUCUGUCUAGACCUUUUAUUUUUCUUCUGUCAAGUCUAAAUCUUAUAUACUAUACAUUCAUUGGUAUCUUUUCGGUCUGCUGUUAAAGCUGCUACUAGGAACUCUUUGCAGCACAACUUGUAAGCUGCUGAAUUGCAAUUUUCCACUUUUCAUGCUGCAAUAAAACCAUCGCCAUUUGUUGACCAAUUUCUGCAUUCUCUCUCUCUCUCUCUCUCUCUCUCUCUCUCUCUCUCUCUCUCUCUCUCACAUGGUUUUUUAAAGCUUAAUUUCACACUUUCACACUUGAAUUCCCGCUUAUUCACACUACAUACUUCAAGGUGCUUUUUCCAUUACUUCUAGACACAGGGAUUAAACACCUCACAUUUCUUCACAUUCCCACACUUAAAAGCUUCCUUGAUUACUUUAAAUACUCACUCUAAACACACAGCAAAAACAUUUAUGUGUUCAAUUUGUCCAUAAUCACAGAUAUUACGACUUUAGAUGAGGGUAUGAAACCGGUAAUAGAUCUUUGGGCGUGUAAUAUUUGUUUUGGUACCUAAAUUAGAGUGAAUUCUGUUGUUGUGCAUGUAUUUUUUAAUGAGAUUAAGUUGAGAGGUUCAUAUUUACCCUAAUAUUAGAGAAGGGAAGCCUUUCUUUAGCAUUGUGUACUAAGUGAGCGCAGGAGCAGUUGUCUGUCAAUUUUGGCUUAUUUUCUUAUAUGUAUACUUAUAUAAACACUGUAUGUACACAAAACUGGAAAUAUUGAAAAAUAAAGGCUCUGGGAGCCAGCAAUGCAAUGCCUCGAGGUGGGGGGAGGGAGAGAGCCUCCUCAGCUGGAGGUAAUGAAACCAAUCGGUUACCAACUUUGAAGUCGACCCAAAAAAGGGCUUAUUAUAAUAAUAAUUAAGUUUUCUAAACUGACGGCUGGCCAGUUGGGAAGAAGUCUUGUAUAUACUUCCUUCAUGCUUUUUAAUAUGUUUGUCAGUUUUAUAUGCCACAAGGGAAGAUAUGUUAGACCUCCAAAUGUCAGAGAAUGUUGUUGAGUACAGUUAAGCCUAAGGUGGGCAUGGCAAGGUUUUACACCAGCAAGACAAGCCUGGACUUACGUUCACUCUCAUGGCUGUAGUUUCGUACUUAUGCAAAUGUUUUGGUUGAUUUGUAGUGUCCUGGCGUAUAUUGACCCACCCACAAAAAAUUUGAUAUCUACCUGUGUAAAUGUACAUUUUGGCAUUCUGUUUUCCAUUUCAGUUGAAGAUUUUCUAGUUUUUAAAAGUUUCUCUAACAUCAUAUUAGAAAAUUAGUGUUUUUGGUAUAAUUACACCUCAUAGAAAACAGGAGAACAAGUAAUGAAAGAUGGUGACAAAGAUAGAUAUACAUCGUGAAUGUUUUAUUAGCCAUUUUGGCCUUGACUUAGUACCAGACAGAAUCCUUGACUUUGAGAGCUGAGAAUAUUAUUUUACUUGUAAAUUUCAAUUGAUGAAGCUAUGAAUAAUUUGUUAAGAAAAUCUACGAUUUAUAUACUACAUUUGUCAAUCUGUUUUCUGUUUUCAUUAAUUUCUUGUAAGAUUUUCUCUUGCAUCUUGUUACAGAAUUUGUGUUAAGUCUCGUAAAAGACUGUGGAAUAUGUAUAUUUUUGUUAUCAUUAGGUUCUGCCAUUUUCUGGCCUAAUUUAUGUAAGUUUGCUAUUGUGACAGGAAGAAAAUACCAACUUUCUGAGCAUUAUUUACCAAAGUUAGAGAAUUUGUCCUGUUUACUGAUUAUUUAUUGUGUCACUGGAAGUUUUUAUUACUUUACAAGAAAUUUUUCCUACAAGGUUAUUUUUAAGUGUAUUUGGUGUCAUUUAUGUCCUCCGGAUGUCUAAAAACGUGUACGUACUGUAAAGUUUUUAAACUCAAGUUAAAAGUCGUCUUGAAAGAUUAAACGUAAUUCUAGAAGAUAUAAAGUUCCAAGGUACAAAAGUUAAAAGUUUUCUUAUAUCCAAAGCAAGUCUACUCAAGACAUAAAGUUAAAAGUCAUGCUAAAAGCCUUUAAAGUAAGUCUUUAAAAACAUUUUGGAAGUUAAAACUCAUCCUGUUGGUCACGUUUUUGACAAAACUAUUGAUUAUAUAUCGGACACAUGCCGUCGUUCCAAAAGGUGGUACCAGCUUGGGGCUCAAACGCCUUCUCGUCUUAGCCUUGGCAUUUCAUUCGUGUAUUUGAAAUAAAAGAAGGGCUAAAAUACCACGAUGGCCAUGUUUGAAAGUCUGUGUGAGAAACCUUAACAAAUUUCAUAACAUCGUCAGCUAAUUAGAAAAAGUCUCGGGUGUUUGUGAGUGUUAAUUUUAGAGGACUGUUUAUUGAAACCUUUGCAGAAAGGUUAAUGUGUAAUAAUGUGGCUCUGGAUAUACUAGAAAGGUUAUUAUAGGCCUAGUACUUUCACCAAAUACCUCACCAUAAGUUCAUGCUAAGCUUCUGAGGCUGUGAGAGAUAAUACUAAAAACAAAAGGUUUCCCUGUCAUUUAAUUAGAUGAGGAAAGAAGUCAUCAGGUUACCUGUCUAAUGUAAGGCUUAAUGUAUAUAGAAAGUAAUCCCAUGAAUAGCUUGGUAAUAAGGUUCAGAUGACUCGUGCUAUGGAGGAACUAAGUCGUUGCCUUGCAGAAACUGCAGCAGUUUUUAAUGCCAAUUUCUUAAAUGUUUACUUCAGUUUGUAAUAGUUUAGUGGCUUCAGGUGCUGAAAUGUUUCCUUAUAAGUUUUUUUUAGACAGAGAAAGUGUUGUUUAAGUUUACUGCGCUUUGUGUCGGCUUGUAGAAUUAGAGAUGCCAUUUCCCAGAUGUGAAGUGCUCGAAUAUUGGAUACGAGAUUUUAUUUUGUUGCUUUGUGGAUAUUUAGAUCUACAACUAGUGUGUAACUUUUGCAUUGCUCCAAAAUUGAUCUUGGCAGGGUUGGCUGAGUCAUGGUACCUUUGAGAAGUCACUCAAACAUCAGCUGAUUUUACAGUUAAUGUGCCUGAUCUAGGGUAACUUAAUACACUGGUCACGAUGUAUGAUAGAAAUGUCUUUUUUUGAUUUUGUAUUGAUUUGCAUCUUAACAUUUCUAUAGAUGUCAGUGGAUUUGUGUAGAGGUUUUCUGAGUGUUGGGACAGUAAUGACGUUCAGGAGGUAUGUUGCUUUGUAGUUUAAGGUUAAAUAAGUCAUUUUUUAUUGGAUUCAAAGUGUUAUUCCACGAGAGUCUAAGUUUUGGAAUAAUUAAAUGAUCGAAGGGUUUCAUUGUUUGUAAGUAGUAAACUUUGUUGUUCAGGAAACUUUGGUAAUGUUUAGCUUUAUUAGGAGUGUGCUAAGAGUUUCAUCUUGGCUACAGAGUCUAGUGCAGUAGUGGAAUCUUCUCAUCUCCAGAUGUUUUAGACUGAUGUCUCCUGAAUAUCAGGUGCAACAGUUUUACUCUCUCUCUCUCUCUCUCUCUCUCUCUCUCUCUCUCUCUCUCUCUC
Long non-coding RNA from Macrobrachium nipponense, 6978 nucleotides. RefSeq lists it as uncharacterized. NCBI's taxonomy places the organism in Eukaryota, Metazoa, Arthropoda, Malacostraca, Decapoda, Palaemonidae. The transcript has 3 exons. The record is from RefSeq and is a predicted model, not a curated record.